Molecule: unclassified non-coding RNA, 459 nt
Filed under: Hevea brasiliensis (rubber tree)
Lineage: Eukaryota; Viridiplantae; Streptophyta; Magnoliopsida; Malpighiales; Euphorbiaceae
Source: RNAcentral
GGUCUUUUGCACUUGAGCAACACCACCCACAGACACUUGUAUCGAGAAAGGAAGAGUCUUUUGCUCAUUUUUCCACAGGAAACGUGAGAUUUUUCAAGCAGAGAUGAAGGAGAAGAGUGAAAGUGGAGGUGCGUAUGUGAGAGCAGAUCAGAUAGAUCUGAAGAGCCUGGACGAGCAACUCCAGAGGCAUCUAAGUAGAGCAUGGACUAUGGAGAAGAACAAGAACAAGAAAGAUGGAGAAGAAGGAGAAGGAGCACUGCAAAGACCUCUAAACAACACUGCAACAAGGCAAGAAUGGGAGAUUGACCCAUCUAAACUCAUAAUCAAAGGUGUUAUCGCUCGANNNNNNNGCACGGUUCACCGUGGCAUUUAUGAUGGCCAAGAUGUUGCUGUUAAACUUCUUGAUUGGGGGGAGGAGGGUCACAAGUCAGAGGCUGAAAUAGCUUCACUUAGAGCAGC